GCUCUUGUACCUUAGUUGGUUAGAGCACUCGUUUAGUAAGCGGGAGGUCUUGAGUUCAACUCUCUGCAAGAGCA
RNAcentral lists this transfer RNA (74 nucleotides) under Ipomoea nil (Japanese morning glory). It matches the Rfam family "tRNA". Rfam says of the family: Transfer RNA (tRNA) molecules are approximately 80 nucleotides in length. Lineage: Eukaryota; Viridiplantae; Streptophyta; Magnoliopsida; Solanales; Convolvulaceae. The record is from Rfam by way of RNAcentral.